AAGGUUUCCGUAGGUGAACCUGCGGAAGGAUCAUUAUCGAGUUUUGAAACCGGAGGUCUGUUGCUGUACGCGGAAACGUGUACGUGCACGACUUUCGUGCUCAAAUCCACUCAACCCCCYGUGCACCUUAACUGUUGAAGUUAGUAGUCCUUCCCCUGUUGCAAGUAGUCAGUAGGGAUGAAGUCAAGUCUGCUAGUAGUCGAAAGGCGAACGCACCUUGUAUUAAGUCUUGAACACGAAAGUGACCUGUCGGAUGAACACUUUGGCUUUAUUACAAACCCUUUUAUUGUCUUGUGAAUGUAAUGCUCCUUGUGGGCGAAAUGAAAUACAACUUUCAACAACGGAUCUCUUGGCUCUCGCAUCGAUGAAGAACGCAGCGAAAUGCGAUAAGUAAUGUGAAUUGCAGAAUUCAGUGAAUCAUCGAAUCUUUGAACGCACCUUGCGCCCCUUGGUAUUCCGAGGGGCAUGCCUGUUUGAGUGUCAUGUUAAUCUCAAACCACUUGUCUUUUUUGACUCGAGGUUUGGACUUGGAGGUUGUGCUGGCAUUAGUUUGUCGGCUCCUCUUAAAUGCAUUAGCUGGACUUUGGUUCGCGUUUUACGGUGUAAUAGUCCUUUGAAUGUUCACCAGAGCGCUUGCCUAAUGAGUCUGCUUCUAAUGGUCUUCGGACAAGGAUCCCUAAGUGGCCUUCAUCUUGACACCUUGACCUCAAAUCAGGUAGG
This 720-nucleotide ribosomal RNA is filed under the name Inonotus sp. PDD 98353. Its description in RNAcentral is "eukaryotic LSU rRNA". The stretch from base 330 to 483 matches the Rfam family "5.8S ribosomal RNA". Lineage: Eukaryota; Fungi; Basidiomycota; Agaricomycetes; Hymenochaetales; Hymenochaetaceae. The record is from RNAcentral.